Molecule: regulatory RNA element, 46 nt
Organism: Felis catus (domestic cat)
Lineage: Eukaryota; Metazoa; Chordata; Mammalia; Carnivora; Felidae
Rfam family: Histone 3' UTR stem-loop
About the family: The mRNAs of metazoan histone genes lack a poly-A tail. 3' end processing occurs at a site between a highly conserved stem-loop (modelled by this family) and a purine rich region around 20 nts downstream (the histone downstream element, or HDE).
Source: Rfam
CCAAAGGCCCUUUUCAGGGCCACCUAUUUAGUCACAGAAAGAGUUG